CAUGCUGUGUGAAUGAGACAUUCUGCACAAUGUCUGCAGGAGAGACACUUGAGGGCCAUCAGGUUUUCCCUUAUAUGCAGACAGCAGGAACCCAACUGGUUUGCAAACUUCCCCUCUUGACCCGCAGUCUGUGUCUUCUGGGAACUAUAGAAUAUUCUUACUGGCUCACUCAUCUCAGAGGAAUUUGGCAAGGUGUAUUACAAAAGUCACCCACUAAAUUACUUCUAACACAUUGAGGCUGCUAAAUCAAAAACAAAACACCAUUGUUCUGUCACUUUCACAACAGCAGCAGUUGGAACAAAGCACUUUACAGAACACGAGAUAAAACAUGAACAAUUGCGUAUAUAAGCAUAAACCAAUAUUUUUUUAAAAAUUCUCCAUUCUAUAUCCACAGAUGAUAAUAGGUGAAAGAGGAGCGAUUAAAAGUCUCCUUUCACAAAGAUCACAGCAGUGUGACGAGAAGCCGAUUACCAGUAUGCCAAAGAUGGACAACUCUUUGGAUGCACACAUCCACGCGAGCAGCGAUUUUCCACAUUGAGCAAUGUUAAAAACAAACACCGCUCACGCAUCACAGGCGGCAGUUUUGAGUCGGCCCUGCAUAAAGAUGAAGGCGAGUUCCUACAGCCCUGAUUUGCAGAUGCUGUGCACAGACGUUCAGGAGCAAAAGCCCCAUUAACCAGGUGAAAGAAAUAAUCGGGCAGUUAAUUUGCAAAUAUUUAUUUCAUUGUUCAGUGAAAUUGUUCUCUUAUUUUUCCACUGUAUUUUUACAUUUAGGUCAAGGUUCCGCUGCACCCCCCAAAGCCAAAAGAAUGGAUGGCUCACGCUAUUUUUGUUUGCUUGAAGUUCAGCUUUUUGAAUCAUUUGAAAGAUACUUUUAACUCUGCAAUUUGUAUAUAUUUUUUUGUUAAGAGUUCAAAAUGUGCUCAUUUUUACGGUGCGCUCGAUUUGCUUAACAAUCCAGUGUAUUUUACAAUCUGAAUGUAUUUUUAUCUACAUUCAGAAGAUAUGAUCUGAUCCCUAGCUAAAGAUAUCGGAGCCAUGAGUUUGUUUCUACUUCCGCUGACAUGACGCAUAUCCAAAUUGUGCUACUUAAAGUAAAAAACAUUGAAUUGCCCCUUGAACCAUGACACAAUUCCAUAUCAUUGACAGUAGAAACAAUCUGUUGAUUGACCAAUCGGUAAUUACACACAUCUCGAGGCCAGAAUUGGGCAACUUUGGUGGAGGGCUGAGUGUCAAGUUACGCAUCUUCGGUUUUGCUGAGGUUGCAUGGUGCAACUGUCACAUUCAUGAGAGGCUUUUCUUUGUCCCGUCUUGUUUCCUCUCUGUGACUCUCCGUAUUACAUUCAGUCAUCAAAACUUCCCUUAUGGUGGGAACCAGACAUUUUCCAAAAAAAACAUGCUAGAGCACUGCCCGUUUCCAUUUCUGUCAUUUGUGGGGAAAUCCUCUCUUUCUGACAGUCCCCCGCACCCCCAACUUCACUCACUAGAUUUGGGGAUUUCUGUAUCGUUUCAAGUACGUGGGGCAGCCAUUUGGGAAAUCACAGACAAAGUAAAAGGACAGAGUGACCGUGAUGUACCACAUGAGUCGAAUGUGACACGAGUAGAAUGUGGCGUCAUCAUACGUCUGACGUGAAGUCACAUUUGAUGACUGCUUUUUCUUCACUGGAAUUUUUCUUUCAAGCGUUUCAUGCUGUUUGAGAUUUUUUUUUCCCACAGCACCCUAACAAAUGAAUGAGUGUUUGUUAGAGUUAUGGACUGCAAAGCUAUUGAUUUCGCAAUCAUAUUGGAUUUUUCCAGAAGAGUAUAUAACUUUCCAAAGAGACUAAUUAAGAUAUCCUUUACUUGUCCCACACUGGGGAACCUUACAGCAGCAAGAUUGUAGGUAGAAAGAAGAAAUAAGAAAAACAGUGUUUGCAUUCACAAAUCCAGUUAAUCUUUGCUGCUCUCUGCAAAGUACGGCAGGACUUCCAGGAAGAAAUUUGGGUAAACGUUUAAUUGCACUUGACAUUUUUUAUGUCUAUUGUGUUGCGGUUGGUGAAGAAUAAUGAGAAUGCUUUACAAUAAUGUGACCCAACAUAUAAAACGUAUUAAAAGACAUUUUCACUGA
Long non-coding RNA from Hippocampus zosterae (dwarf seahorse), 2107 nucleotides. RefSeq lists it as uncharacterized. The transcript is spliced from 2 exons. NCBI's taxonomy places the organism in Eukaryota, Metazoa, Chordata, Actinopteri, Syngnathiformes, Syngnathidae. The record is from RefSeq and is a predicted model, not a curated record.